AUUCCAUGAUGGGGACAAUCAUUGAUGUAUCCUUGCAAACGCUCCCAUGCUUCUGAAAUGGUUUCUGUCUUCUUUAUUAACAUAGAACCACAGCUUCGCUCUUCCCAUUAGUGAGAAU
This 118-nucleotide small nucleolar RNA is filed under the name Sorghum bicolor (sorghum). Its description in RNAcentral is "Plant small nucleolar RNA R71". It matches the Rfam family "Plant small nucleolar RNA R71". Rfam says of the family: R71 is a member of the C/D box family of snoRNAs containing the C (UGAUGA) and D (CUGA) box motifs. Multiple nearly identical copies of this snoRNA have been identified in Arabidopsis, and it is thought to function as a 2'-O-ribose methylation guide for 18S ribosomal RNA. Lineage: Eukaryota; Viridiplantae; Streptophyta; Magnoliopsida; Poales; Poaceae. The record is from Rfam by way of RNAcentral.